Molecule: unclassified non-coding RNA, 443 nt
Filed under: Hevea brasiliensis (rubber tree)
Lineage: Eukaryota; Viridiplantae; Streptophyta; Magnoliopsida; Malpighiales; Euphorbiaceae
Source: RNAcentral
GGCUCAUAUUUUUGCCCAACUUCAUAGUGAAGAACUUGGAGUCCUUCCCCAUGUUCUACAGGUAUGAAGGUGAAAUCAGCAAUCCUCUUCUCAAUUUCCCUUAUCUUUUUAUCACGACCUCUUGGAAGGAAUGUGCCAGAGCUUGUUCGCACUCUGCUAUCUUUACUCUUCCCAGUUUCACUGUCAACAACUGUAGACUUUUGCAUAUGAGGCUUGGCUAGAUUGAUCAGGUAAUCACAUUCCUCUUUGCUCAAAAAAUUAUGAUAGAUAGAAGCCCGAGGCUCCCACGAGAUCACCUCAGCCCAGUGUUCUUGUCCCCCAUCGUCUCCCUCGAUACUGUCCACUUUAUUAUGGACGAUGGUGCUGAGAUCGUUGGCCUUGCGAGAGGGAUCACCGGAAUUGCUAGGAAUAGAGAGAAUUCCGAGGGCAAGAAGUAUGAGAAU